CCAUUCCGCGUGAGUGAAGAAGGCCUUACGGGUUGUAAAGCUCUUUUGUCCGGAGCGAAACGGUUGGCGUGAAUAUCGCCGACUACUGACGGUACCGGAAGAAUAAGCACCGGCUAACUACGUGCCAGCAGCCGCGGUAAUACGUAGGGUGCGAGCGUUAAUCGGAAUUACUGGGCGUAAAGCGUGCGCAGGCGGUUUUGUAAGCCAGAUGUGAAAUCCCCGGGCUCAACCUGGGAAUGGCAUUUGGGACUGCAAGGCUGGAGUUUGGCAGAGGAGACUGGAAUUCCCGGUGUAGCAGUGAAAUGCGUAGAUAUCGGGAGGAAUACCGAUGGCGAAGGCAGGUCUCUGGGCUAUAACUGACGCUCAUGCACGAAAGCGUGGGGAGCAAACAGGAUUAGAUACCCUGGUAGUCCACGCCCUAAACGAUGUCGACUGGUUGUUGGGGGUUUGACACUCUCAGUAACGAAGCUAACGCGUGAAGUCGACCGCCUGGGGAGUACGGCCGCAAGGUUA
This 513-nucleotide ribosomal RNA is filed under the name uncultured Pseudomonadota bacterium. RNAcentral describes it as "bacterial SSU rRNA". It matches the Rfam family "Bacterial small subunit ribosomal RNA", at positions 392 to 896 of the family's 1533-position model. Lineage: Bacteria; Pseudomonadati; Pseudomonadota. The record is from RNAcentral.